AGAGUAUUAAAAAUAGAUUUCUAAUCUUUAAAAAGUUAUAUAACUAUACUCUU
This 53-nucleotide transfer RNA is filed under the name Grandidierella osakaensis. RNAcentral describes it as "tRNA-Ser". The record is from RNAcentral. Lineage: Eukaryota; Metazoa; Arthropoda; Malacostraca; Amphipoda; Corophiidae.